RNAcentral lists this ribosomal RNA (387 nucleotides) under uncultured bacterium. Its description in RNAcentral is "bacterial SSU rRNA". It matches the Rfam family "Bacterial small subunit ribosomal RNA", at positions 28 to 413 of the family's 1533-position model. The record is from RNAcentral.
GAUUAACGCUAGCGGCAGGCCUAAUACAUGCAAGUCGAACGGGAUUAUUGGUAGCAAUACUGAUAUGAGAGUGGCGCACGGGUGCGUAACGCGUAUGCAACCUACCUUUAACUGGGGGAUAGCCUUCCGAAAGGAAGAUUAAUACCGCAUAAAACAAUGAAGUGGCAUCACUAUAUUGUCAAAACUCCGGUGGUUAAAGAUGGGCAUGCGUAAUAUUAGCUAGUUGGGAGGUAAUGGCUCACCAAGGCUACGAUAUUUAGGGGGUCUGAGAGGAUGAUCCCCCACACUGGUACUGAGACACGGACCAGACUCCUACGGGAGGCAGCAGUAAGGAAUAUUGGACAAUGGUGGAAACACUGAUCCAGCCAUGCCGCGUGCAGGAUGAAU